RNAcentral lists this ribosomal RNA (274 nucleotides) under uncultured bacterium. Its description in RNAcentral is "partial 16S ribosomal RNA". It matches the Rfam family "Archaeal small subunit ribosomal RNA", at positions 473 to 747 of the family's 1478-position model. The record is from RNAcentral.
AAACCAGCACCUCAAGUGGUCAGGAUGAUUAUUGGGCCUAAAGCAUCCGUAGCCUGUUCUGUAAGUUUUCGGUUAAAUCCAUUAGCUCAACUAAUGGGCUGCCGAAAAUACUGUAGAACUAGGGAGUGGGAGAGGUAGACGGUAUUCGGUAGGAAGGGGUAAAAUCCUUUGAUCUAUUGAGGACCACCUGUGGCGAAGGCGGUCUACCAGAACACGUUCGACGGUGAGGGAUGAAAGCUGGGGGAGCAAACCGGAUUAGAAACCCCAGUAGUCC